CUAACACAUGCAACGUCGAGAGGGCUAGCAUGAAAGUAGCAAUACUUUUGAUGACGACCGGCGCGACGGGUGAGUAACGCGUAUGCAACCUACCUACUACAGGGGAAUAGCCCGAAGAAAUUCGGAUUAAUGCCGCAUAAUACAGGGGCACCGCAUGGUGAUAUUUGUUAAAGAUUAAUUGGUAGUAGAUGGGCAUGCGUUCCAUUAGCCAGUUGGUGAGGUAACGGCUCACCAAAGCAACGAUGGAUAGGGGAACUGAGAGGUUUAUCCCCCACACUGGUACUGAGACACGGACCAGACUCCUACGGGAGGCAGCAGUGAGGAAUAUCGGUCAAUGGGCGAGAGCCUGAACCAGGCAAGUCGCGUGAAGGAUGACUGCCCUAUGGGUUGUAAACUUCUUUAGUACUGGGGUAAAAAAGAGGACGUGU
RNAcentral lists this ribosomal RNA (428 nucleotides) under uncultured Bacteroidales bacterium. RNAcentral's name for it is "bacterial SSU rRNA". It matches the Rfam family "Bacterial small subunit ribosomal RNA", at positions 48 to 463 of the family's 1533-position model. Lineage: Bacteria; Pseudomonadati; Bacteroidota; Bacteroidia; Bacteroidales. The record is from RNAcentral.